RNAcentral lists this long non-coding RNA (1845 nucleotides) under Helianthus annuus (common sunflower). RNAcentral describes it as "hypothetical non coding rna". The record is from RNAcentral. Lineage: Eukaryota; Viridiplantae; Streptophyta; Magnoliopsida; Asterales; Asteraceae.
AUGUCAAAAGCUUGUGUUAUGGGGGUGGGGUGGGGGUAGGGUGUUCAUCUAUGAGCUCACAAAGUUUUUGAUCACAUCCAUUAAAGUGUAGAAAUGCUCAUUAUUUGGCAAGAAAUAGAACCCAAUUGUAGCCUUUUUCAAGAACAAUAACUCCACUUGUUGCUCUGCAUUCUCCAACCCUUCAACAUAUGCCAAUUGCCAAUCUUGAACAAGAUCCAAUCCAGCCACAACCACCAAACUUUUUGGAAAUUUAACCCCUUUUAGAUCAACCCCUCUCGGCCCGAAUAUGUUACACGCCGGAUGAUCGCGAUCUUCCCCUUCCGGCAAAAAAGCCCUCCAAUACCAAUCCCUAUCUUGAACCCUAACAAAAUACUUCCCAUCGAGUUUGCUCUCCGAUUCUUUUCGCUCUUCGCCCCCAAACAACGGGUGCAACAAUAUGUUCCCUAGCACUUCCACACCCGACUCAGCGGCCCGAACCGCCACGUGGUGGGCUAUGUUGCCGCCGGAGCUAUCACCGGCUAAAUAAACAUGAACUUUAGGGUCUUUACCACUUAAAAGCCAUGUUCUUGAAUGAACCCAUUUGAGGGCUUCCCACCCAUCUUCAUAAGCACACGGAUACCGAUGCUCCGGUGACCGGCGGUAGUUUACCGACACCACCACGCCUUUGAUCAGGGCGGUGAGACGGCGGCAAAACGUGUCGUAAAUCGCGCUAUUCGCUGACGAAUGAGUGAAGCUUCCACCAUGGAAAAAGAUUAUCACCGGCACAACUUCAGUUGUGCUUAAAGGGUUUUCGAGUUCCAAGAUUCCGGCACCUGGUUGCCGGCCGGAAUCUGAUUCCGGUGGGGCACACCGGUAGAUUCGGUUGAGGAGACUGGUGGCCCGGUCAACGACAUCGAAUGAGUACACGCCGUCCACCGGAACGGUGUUGGCGGCCACUUUCCGGUCAAGAAACUCGGCGAGUUCACGGUUGAAGGUGCCGUCCGGUCGCCGGAGCAUAUUGUAAGCUAACUUGAAGUUGGAAAUCAAGAUCCAUGUGUGCAGGGGAACUACUUUCUGUAAAAUAAAAAAAAAUAAAAAUAAAAAAAUAAAAAAAAAUAGAAUCAACAUAUAUUUCUGAAAACUAACAUCUGGCAACUACAGAUUGCUCACUCAAACACCAAUGGAUAACAACAAAAACUUCUGGUGACCAGAAAUAAAUACAAGAAACCCAUUAAAAUCUUUGAGAAAAUAUUAACAAAAAAAUAAAAAUUAAAGAUUUUAGCCACAUAAAAUGAAAAAGAACCCCCAAACAGAAAAUGAAGAAACUUUAUCAGAUUAAGUUAUCAAAAACUUAAAAAAAAAAAGGUGGAAACUUUUAAUGGCUAAAUCAAAGAAAAAAAAACCCCAAACAGAAAAUCAAGAAAACUUAUCAGAUUAUGUAAACCAAAAACUAAAAAUAAUAAAAAAAGGUUGAAACUUUUAAUGUCUAAAUCAAAGAAAUAGAACCCAUAAACAGAAAAUCAAGAAAAAUUAUCAAAUUAAUUGAUCAAAAACUAAUAAAAAAAAGGUUGAAACUUUUAGAACCUAAAUCAAAGAAAACAAAAACCCAGAAAAAAAAACUAAAAGAAAUUAACAAUUUUUAGUUAAAACUAUGAAACCCCAUCAAGAAUAAAGAAAAUGAGAAAUAUGAUUGUUGAAAAGAAACAAAAGUUAAUAAAAAACGUGUAAAAAAUAAAAACCAUCAGGAACAAAACCCCCAAAAGUUUACCCCAAAAUCAACCAAGAAGAAAGUAGAAUUACCAAAAUAAUCGAACAAAAGGCAUAAAAAAAUAAGGAAAAUAUUAACCAUUUUGGGAACAACAUGAC